CCAACCCCACCCCCAAAUCCUCGAUCCCCAAACUCUUCCCUACCGCAGCUCCCACACGGCCACCCACUCCUCGUGGGCCACGGUGCAUCACCCCCGUCCUCGCCUAUGGUGCACGUCGGAGGCUCAAAGGUCGACGUCACGCCGCUCGCAGAGCUCCACGCAUUCCUAGGGAGCGCUACACCGAGUCGUUGCCCAGGUCGGAAGAUCGUCGCCUUGGCCCCACCUAAGAUCCGCGUCGGGCUCGACGCUACGCCGCGCCGCCAGCUCCAGCGACCCGCCAGCUCUACGCCCCAUCAGGUAGUCACGUGAACUGAAUCGAUGAUGUUGCUCAUCAGUUGUCAUGAAAUGUGAUGUUGCUUACCAGUUUUUCAUGGUAUUAUUUAGUCUACAAUAACAUAUCCACCGGGUACCCGAUGGGCAUGGGUACAGGUACAAUUCCUCGCUUGAUUGACUUGGUGGGUAUGGAUAUUUGUAGAAGUCUCGGGUACAAUAUUGGGUCGGGUAUUAUUAUACCCGAAUACAACCUGACCCGCUGCCAUCCAUAGGGAUGGUCCCAGGCACCAUCAUUCGAGCUACACCAACCCUUACUUCCGUAGCCUGGGGCUCUGCCAUCCCCGGCCCCGGGCUCGGUGCCGCGGGGUUUGAUCGGGGCCGGUCCUUACAGGGUUGGUGCACCUGCCUCCUCCGACUGACUAACAGGCCCCAAUGAUCAAGAGCUCUUUUCUCAGCACACUCACUGACUGGCGGGUCCUAAGGACCGGGAAUCAUUUCCAGACACAUAAGCAUGAGGUUGUUCACUUUAAUAUUAAUUUUAUUUUUAUAGAUACUAAAUAUGAGUGUAUGUCGUCGCAAUACACAAGUAUUGGACUAGUUAAUCUAAAAGGAGCACAAAUAGAGAUAGAGGUGGAGAGAGAUCUAGCCCUUGAUUCAUUUGCUCUCUCGAUUGCUCUCUGCUCUCAUCUCUCCUUGGUUCUUAAUUCAUUUACAGUCUUAAUUUCUCUACGCACUUAUUUGUAUGGUGAAACAUUAAGCAUGCUUAGAAACGCUUAAGUAUACUUAAACUCUAGACAUCACCGCUCGCUUAGCAUUUGAUCAUGUAUAUAAAGAUCAUUUGGUACUGUAGAAGGGCUAUUUUUUAAUAAAAAAACUUGAUCAAGUUUAGGAUGGUUCGACUUAGAGGGCCCUUGUUUGGGAUUAUCUAUUUAUAUUAUAUAAUCCAAUAAAAUUUGAACUAAGUGACAGAUAAUCUGAGUAGAUUAUUAUCUCAAACAAAUACCAAGACACCUAAAAAAUUAUUAGAUCUAACGGUGGCCAACUUAGCACGACCCACAUUUUCAGAGUGGAUUAUUACAGUAUAGUUGCUAUGUCACCAACCUAGUAACAAUCGGUACAAACUUGAGCCAAAUUUACAAUCUCGACGGCACCCCUCCAGCAACAACAAUGGUUUCAGCUGUGAUGAAUGAUGCAUCGUCAGAUGCCAGGAAUGCGGCAGCUGCCGCCAUAUCUUCCACGGAACCCAAUCUCUUAAGCAUAGUCCUCUCGUUAAGCUUUUUCCUCUGUAGAAUAAUUCAGGUUAGGUCAAUGGAUUUGAAUGGAAGGAACAAUGAUAAGCUGGAUAAAAUCUUGAAAUGAAUGGGUGUGAAUAACUUUUUUGCGCCAUUCAAUUAGAUGAUGAUAAAUCUAGACAUAUAUAAAAAAUAUAUACAUCAUUUAUUGUAUGAAUGCAUUAAAAAUAUAAAACAAAUUUUAAUUUGGGACAGAGGGAGUAGUAGACAAGAACCAGUGAUGGACACAUGGAUAAUCUCAUCUAAGUAAAAUACCCUCCGCAGAUUCGGAGCUUUACUUUCUCUAUACACAGAUAAACAUACAUAUUUUUUCCAUACAAGGAAGAAACAUUGUAAUAGUGUCAAAUGUUUUCAUUGUCAUUAACCAAUCAUCAAAAUAUAUAUGAAGACAAACUAUGCAUGCAAAGAUAGAGAAAUUACUUACAAUGGUCUCGUUGUCUAUGAAGAAACUAGCAAACCGUGUCGGAACAAAACCAGGGGCUAUACAAUUAACACGAAUAUCGGGUCCCAUCUCACCAGCAAGAGCCUAAAAGGUGAAGAUCAGAAGCUUAGCAAUAAAUUAUAAAAAAUAGUCUACUAGUUUAUCUUAAAAUUAUGCAUAAAUUGAUGCUUUUUUUGAAAAAAGGUCCAUAUAAUCUCAUGAUGUGCAACAUGUGUACAACAUAUCUUCUACUUUAGCCUCCACCUUAAAAAAGGCAUUGUAACACCAUUCAAAUAACCACCUCAGGGCGUGUUCAUUUUCAUCUCAAUCCAUGCGGAUUGGAUGAGGUUGAGUGGGUGUAAAUUCAUAGCAAGUCAAUGAUUUUUUCAAUCUCAUCCAAUCUAUAUGGUGUAGAAAUAACUGAACAAGGCCUCGGGUGGUUUUUGCCACCAUGUCACUUAAGCCCGCAUGUUAGAGAUGACACAUGGUGAUUGGCCAUCCUAGCUGGCAUUGAUGCCACUGUGUCAUGCCCACUAUGACGUCAAUGAUAUAAUCUAACCCACCCACUCCAUUCCACAACCACAGGUAUGGAGAAGAAGCCAAAGGUGGAAACAACUAUGUAACAUCUCCCGUGGUCUAAAGGGUCGACACAUCACAAAAAAACUGAUGAGUAGCUUGUGCUAGAUGGUAGCCCUUUUUCUGAUGUCAACAUAGCCAAGCAUAAGGACAAAGCAGCCGUGGGCGAAAACGCCAUGUUGGAGAUAGUUGUGAUCACCAUAGCUAUGAUCAGGUUGUCAAGGUUGACACAAUCGUUCAUGAAGGCGCACGUGCAAAACAAACACAAUGGUGACGAUAGAGACACAUUAAGGUAGUAAUCGUGGAAGGAGAUGAUAUUGAGGUCAAAGCAGCCAGGGUCGUAGAGGGCGUAGAUAUAAGACAAUGAUGUAAAUGAGGCAGAUAAAAUCGGAACAGAGGGUCAAUAUAGUCAAGCCAUCAUGGAUGAAGCAUGCAUCGGGGUUGUUAGACCUGAUAAUGCUUCGAGGAUGGAAGCACACACUAAUGUUGCUAAUAAAGCAUGUACUAGGUAGAGAGCUACAACUAUAAGCCAUUGUCUAAGGGGCUUCACGUCAGUUGUGAUGCCCUGAAUGGUGGAGAUAGAAGGUGUUGAUGCAACUUACUGUUGUUAGAGUAGACAAAAGGGUAGGAAAGAGACGAUGUUGUUGGCAACAAGGAUCUGCUAGAUGAAGAAGUGUGUGAAUAUACACUCCUGCCCAAAAGCAAGCAAUCCAGGCGGUGCUCGAUGUCCACAAUGAACUUGAAAAACUUGAUAAAGAUCAAGUGCAAACAAGUGGUGCACAAGAGAUGCAACACGAUUGUCGAAGGUAAAUAGCAAGAUAGAGAUGCAAACUCUCGUGGAUGACGCUGGUAUUUUUACCGAGGUAUCCGGAACCAUGCAAGGUUUCGACUAUUCCUCAUUGGUGCCCCUACGCAAAGGGUAGCCCACGCGAGAGCCAAGCACCUUGGUCGAGUAACUCCGUAGAGAGCCGCGGGCCUUCUCCACGCGUAAGUGGUGCUCCGCUUCCGGCUCUUCUCGGACGCUCUCCGUCAUCUCCACUAUCGAGCUUCUGGUCGAAACGCGCGGGUCUCGUUCCCUCCAGUACACGGUGGCGACCGUGACACAAACUCGGUUGUCACGGUCUUGCAAUACUCUCGCCCCACUCGAUAUAGUUACAACGACUCGCGCAAGAGCCGAGAGGUUGUGUGGUUUUUCUAAACUCAUUCAACUAACUAGAAUUCACAUAGAACAAGAGCAUAAGCGGUCUAACUAACCUAAGCACUUCGCAAAGCACCUACGCUAAUCACCGUGUGAUUAUUUUGCAACGAGAUUAGUGAGGGCAGUCUUCGACUCUUCGUCAACGAAUAUGGACCACGACGACGAAGACAACAUAAGGAGGUAGGUGACUAGUAAUAUGGCCUAGCUAGAACGAAGAUGACAUCGACAAAUCAAUAUGACCAUCUGUUCAAACAAGGAUGUUGUCCCUCUCACAUCAUAUGCAUUUUGCAACUCAACUUGAUCCAGUGGUGUACAAGUACAAUGAUUUUUUAGAGUUUUAACAUGCCACUACAAUAUGAUAUGCUCUCUAGUCAUGUACUCUCUGCAUCCUAAAUUACAAUAACUAUUAGAGAGUGAAAGCAUCUCAUUAGUCCAAAUUUAUAUAAUAAAAUAAUAAACUUUAUGAUAUCAAUUAAGUAUCAUUUGACCUUUCAGUUUUCACAAAUUAUAUAUAUACAUAUAUUAUUGUCAUAAGUACUUGUGAUCUAUUUAUAAUUUUGGUCAAACUUGAUAGGAUUUAACUCUUCAAGAAAGUUGGAAUAACUUAUAAUUUAGAAUAGAUUGAAUAUAUAUUAAAGGGACAUGCAUGAGCAUUCAAACGGACAUCCAAAUGGGAAAGUAACAUGCUCAUGUGUGCUUCAUUAAUCCAAUAUUAUUCAAUUAUGAACUUGCCAAACAUACGUUUUACAUAAUAAAUUACAAAAUAAUAUAAUUCACGAAGAUGUAUUAAUAUUUAUUACAACUUUCUAUCCAUAUAAAUGAUAACGAGACGAUUCUGACACUGGUCAGAUACAUCAAACAGAGUGAAAAAAUAACUCAAAAACAGAUAAGAUAUACCUUUGUGAGACCAAAGAGAGCGGUCUUUGUAACACCAUACAUUGUCAAUCCUUGCUCAGGAUUGUAACCAGCAAUUGAAGAAAUAAGGAUCACAGAUGACCCUGCCCGUAGGUGGGGAGCAGCAUCCUAAGAAAACGUUCGAUAGAGGAAGAUAAUGAUGUCAUCUUUAUUUGUGGAGAAUGUCGAAUAGGAGGAAGAAUCCGCUCACCUGAAUAAGAAGAAUAGAAGCCUUGACGUUAAUAUCCCACAACUUAUCGAGAACAACCUCUUUCAUUUCAAGUAUGACAUUCACAGUAGGAUUUGCAGCAGCGUUGGAGACAAGAAUAUCAAUGUGCCCAAAGUUCUGCAACCAUAUAAUCAGUUGAUUACUGCUACACGAAUCCUCACAUCCUCAAAUGCUUUUCAAUAUAUAAGACAUGAACAUAAACUAAAAUAAUGUACAACAUGAUCAACAAAACAAGUGAUUUGAGAUACGAAAAAGGUACACUUUAGAUGCAAGCGAAUAAGACAAGGUAUGACCACUGUGUGUCGAAGUACUAAUGAAGUAAAUGCAAGUUGAGCUAGCCAUCAACCUCAAUGUCACAAGAUGAACAGAUAAAAGAGAAAUGACACGGCCUUUUGGCUCGAGACUUUCACUUUCACAUGAUAAAUAUAUACUACGCUACUGUUCGUAAGCUUGGAAAAGCUAUUGACUAAACUGAUAAAAGAGCGUUAUACUCAUAAGUGAAAUUCCAGUAGAUAUUUGUAUAAAUGAGGUUGUCUUAGUUCAUAAUUUAAGAAAAAGACAAUUCUAGCUCUAGUAGCGGCAUUAUUUGCACUUAUGCACAAAUAGAUCUCACUGUUACCCAGUUUAAAGAUGUAUCUAUCAAUGUCUGUGUUUUACCAACCAUGAACCCAUGUUUCUUAGCUAGUUUGGACAAUGCCGUUGCACCAAAAAAUGUACUACAUUCCAAAAUAUUAGUCGGUUUAGCUAUUAUUCUUUAUGUUUAUAUUCAAAUAGAUGAUAAAUCUAGACACACAUACAAAACACAUGCAUCAAGAAUUGUACGAAUCUACAAAUUUUCUAAAACGACUACUACCUCCGUAAUUAAAUAUUUGUCGCUCGUUAGUUCAUUUUUAUAUUAAACAUGACAAAUAAAAAAUAACGGAGAGAGUACUAUUUUAGCACGAAGCUAGUAUUAAGCAAGCAGCUAGAGAAAAUACGAGGUGGCGACUAACGAGGGCAGGCAGGUAAUGUCGGGUGAGCAACAGAGCCAGAUCCUACUAGGAAAAAAACAGAGUUGACAGGAAUCCCCCUCUUCCCCAAGGUUCAGCAAAACGUUAACCGCAGGGAGGCCUGAUGGGAUCGCUUAGCAACAAGAGGAAGCUGACAAUGCAAUGUAAUCCAUCUGAAAAUGAACUAUUUUGGACUGAGCAAAUACGAGGACAACAAAACAAGCCCUGAAAGACUGGAACCCCCUUCCACAGUUGCGACCUUGACGGCCGUCUCGAUGAUGUUCUUGCGUUGCUGUGCGUCGGAUACGUGGCAGACGGCGCCCACCACGGUGAUCCCCUUGGCCUUGAGCCCCUCCACGGCCUCGUCCACGUUCUUCUGCAUGCAACGCCCCCCAACCGAUGCACAGAAACCCGCAGUCAGAAAGAGCAGUAGGGAAAUUCGAUCCCAAGAGAGGAUUGCAAGCAGGAAGGGCGAUCAAAGAAACGAGAAGAUUGUUGCCGUCUCAGCUGGAUCUGGACCUGCUUGCGGGAGGAGACGACGGCGGCGGCGCCCUCCAGGCCGAGGCGCUCGGCGAUGGCUAGGCCGAUCCCCUGCGUGGACGCCGUCACGACGGCCACCUUCCCCUCCAGACGCCGGCAUUUGACAUCCAUCGUCACCACCGCGCAGGCCAAGCUUCGAGGUCGUCGGUCGCUCUCCUCUCUCAAGUCUCAAGAACGCCGGCUCUUCGCUGAUGCUGGUAUAGCCUGGUACAGCAGUGCCCACUGCCCGCGCGUUGCCCAAAGCGGCAAAGCCAUUAACCAUCCUAGUUCAAAACAAGACCGACACUGGGGGGCCGGGCGGGGGCGAUGGAGGUGCGGGGACCGGAGCAGGCGCCGAAGAGGUGACGACAGGCCGUGCGGGGUCCGGAGCCACCUGUCAACGAAGGAUAGGCUAAGAAGAGGAGAAGUUGUGCGAGGACUCCUGAUAUGAAGCUAAAAUAAAAAUAAAAAUAAAAAUUUAUAUCACCACUAGUACUUGAUCUUACAUUUAAUAUAUAGUUUUUGAAAUACGUGAUAUCUUCUAUCUAUUUGCUUGUCACUAGCUAUUCUUGUUUUUCCCAUAUUUUUUAUCCACGUAGGAAAGAGAGUGAAUCUAACUAAUAAAAUAGCUAGCCAUUAGAGACACCCUUACUGACACGUUUAAAAGAGAGUAGCUAAAGAAUCUCUGAACAGAUCAUCUUCCAUUACUAGUAGUAGUUUAGUUUUUCCUUCUUUUAUUAGAGUUCUCUAAGAUACUACUAAUACAUUUAGGGCUAGUUUAGGAGUUAGAGGAACCAAGCCUAGGAAGAGAAAACCUCCUAUGAAUAACUAAAUGUAUUUUAAAAUGAUACCCUCUGAAAUUGUACGCCUUGAAAAAAACAGAGAUCUUAAGGUGAUUUUAGUUCCUAAACUAGUCCUUGAAGUGGAUAUGCAAGGAAUUAAAUCACCAUUCAUUCGAGGGAAACAUAAGGUAGAUUUUGAUAAAUUAUUUAAAACAUUUUCCAUUUACAUGACCUAGACAAUAAUACCAGAUAAAAGUGAUAUUUCAAUCAUUAGGUAAAAAUCUUUUUUAUUAAUGUUAUGAACAUAAUUAUCGUCAAGAUUUAGGAUAUACAACCCAUCCAUGGAUCGAGAUUCCUGCACACAAAAAUUUACUCAAAUAAAUAGAACAACAUUUAUUCUUAAUUGUUAUCUUAUAACCACCAUCUUUCUCUAGAACUAAAAAAUAUAUAAUGUCCUUACACAAAACUGGAAUAUAAUAAUAAUUAGUUAAUCCAAAAACCAAUGAUAAGGGCAACGAUAAAUGAUAAGUGUUGAUGGCCAGCGCAACAAUAUUUAUCAUGUUGUCUACACGCGCAUAAACGCAUUCAACUCAACUCUUGCAAUUUUGUAGUUCUUUUUAGUUUCUACAAUGAUUUUUCAGUAUGAAUCAUCGAUCCGGUAUCAAAUACACAUGAUUCACUAAAAACAACCAGAUUAAUUUCGAUAAUACAUAUACAUGAAGUAGAAGUCCCACUUUUCCUUCCUUUUGUCUUCGAGGUACUUUUUUGUUGUUCCUAGACAAAUGUUUAAGGUUGCCAUAAUAUAAACAUUUGUCUUUAGAAGGGCCAAACUUAGGCGUUGCAUUUGCCUUUGAAAUCUCAUCUUUAUCCUUGCCCUUUAUAAAGUGUUUUGGCUUUCGCUAUCUUUCUAAACCAUCAUCACAUGGUCAAAAAUCUUUUUAAUGUUCUCCUCGGUUGUCUUAAGCAUCCCAUAUAACUCAAACAAGAUCUUCUCCAUGCCAUUCAUGUGAAAGUUCAAAAUGAACAACUCAUAGCUUAGAGGGAGAGAAUAGAGGAUCACAUCCAUAAAUAGCUCAUCAAGAAGAGCAAAACCAAGCACAUCAAGGCUCUCAAUGUAACCCGUGGUCUUGAUUACACGAGGAUAGAUUGGACUUCCUUUGGUUAGCUAGCAUGAAAACAGAGACUUAGAGAUAUCAUAUCUCUCAACCCUUGCUUGGUUCAUGAACAUGACAUGAAGUUCUAUAAUCAUAGUGUAGAUAUAUGCAUACUCAUAUUGCUUCUGAAGCUCAAAUGACAUAGUGGCAAGCAUGAGGCAACUAACAUCAGGGAGUUAUUGGUGUACUUCUCAUAAGUACUUUGGUUAGCAUCACUUGCACUCUUCGAUGACUCAUCAGGAUAUGGAGUCUUAGGAACAUACUACAUAUUUUCUUAUCUAAGAACAAUUUUUAAGUUACAGUACCAAUCAAUAAAGUUUGCUUCAAUAACUUUUCCUUUGUCAAGAAUCGAUUGCAAAUUAAAAUCGGUAGGAACAUUAGGUGCCAUCGCUAUAAUUAAAAUAAAAGGCAAAGUUCAACACUAUGUUUACUUCAUUCUUUUAUUAAACAAUUUAACAAAAUAUUAUUCCAGUACAUAUUUUGGAAUUCUUCCUUCAUCUGAUGACAUAUAGUGGACAAGAUCCAUGUUCAAUAAGUUAUGGUGAGCUUCGGUGUCACGGCUAUAACAUAAUGACCUAUGUAAGAAUUAUUUACUAACCAUAUUCUAUGAGACUAUUGUUUGUUGGGUGGCAACUAGUACCUCGGAUCCCAACAUCAUGCCAAAGGCCCAAACACGGUUUGAUUGUCUCGCUAAGUAAUCAACAUUAUGUAUGUAGAUGUCCAAUAACCACCCUAUUAGAUUAAAUAAUCAAUAAUACUCUACUUUAGCAAACCUACCAAGUGAUGAUUAGAAUAUUUAAAGACAUAACAAUUGAAAUGUCAUCACAAUAAACUCUUAUUUUUUUGAGGGAAUUUAUCCUAUCAUAAUUAGCACAUGAACAAAUAGUAUAAUAGUAAAAUAAAACAUCACAGACAAUCAUAUUAAAUGCGAGAUAUUAUGCCCCUUACAUGGUGAUUUCUAUCAUCAAAUCCCGUAUAUGACUAUUAUAUUUGGGCCAUACCAUUCAAAACAUUCCCUGCAAAACCAAGUUAAACACAGAAUUGGAUACCACCAUAUGGUGUUUAAAAGACUAUCCAAACAAUCUACACGAUGCACAUAGAUGACAAUCUCACUAUUUUUACUAUCAAUCAUAUUGACAAUUACGUGAGAUAGAACGAUAAUAGUACAUCCAAUUUGAAUAUAUAUGUUGUUUUCACAAUCUGAAAGAUACAUACACAGUUAGCCUCGAUGGUGAUUCUAGUCAGGAGGGGCAAGUUGUGUGACUGGUCACUAGAAAAAACAAAUUGGUCUUGUGCUCCAAUGGUGAUUCCAACUUGUAAGGACAACUAGUUGUGCGACUAUACCUACAACUAUAUCAUCCAUAUCAAUUAAUGCUACAACCAAAGCAAAAGUAGAUUCAAUUUACUAGGCAUAUCAUCUAAAUGAAAAUUAUCAAGAUAAAAAUCUCCGUACGACCUAGUUUUGAUAACACUGUAGGAAAACAUGUAUGCUAUUAACUUAAAAUAUCUACCACAUUCAAUCAAGAUGGCAUGCGAGUAGAGGAUCAUGCUUCGUUACCACUAGACACAUAGUGCGACGGAAGAAUAAGCGUUGAUGUAGUGGAAGUAGUAAAACGUCCUCGCAUAUCAAUAGCAUCAACACGAUCACACAUGCUCCUCAAGUUCGUUGUUGAUCAACAUCUAGCAACAACAUCAACAUCUCCAUAUUAUCCACACGUGCGAGGAUGAAACGCCGUGACGUCGAUGUGCUAGCACAUCACGUGCAGCAAGAAAAACGAUGGUGACGUCUUGAGCGUUCACAACAUUAUGGAGAUAGACGACAAUUAAGAUAAUCCUCUCUAACACGACAACCCUUUCACACACAUUAUAUGCACACACACACCCUUAUUAAUGAGUUUUUACACACAUUAAAGCUAUCAUGGAUCAUGAUUGUCUCUUGGUCAUAUAUUUAACAAUUUCAUCCCCUUUUAUCUAGAAAAGUUGUCUCAUAAAAAAACAGAGAAAUUGAAGUUUGCUCUAUCGAAUAAGUCAUAGCUGAAACUAUAUUUUAGCUAGAGCUCUAGCCUAAUAAGAGAGGGGUUGUCUUCUAGCUAAAUGAGGCAUUGGCUUACUUGGAUUUACUUGACGCUACACGUGACCCUAUAAGUAAUGUGUUUAGCUCCGAAUUAGGCGUAGGUCGUGUAUAUGGACGUAAAAAUAUUGUUUCACUGUAGAUUGGAGUUUUAAACAGGGAGUAAGGUAAAAGAUGGGAUAUGAAGGCUGCUAGAGAUACUUACAAUAGUAUUCCUUUUUCUUUCUACUCGACGCAUACAUCUAGUUUUGGUAUCAGAUUUAAUAACCGAGAUAUAUCUUGUCUUUUGGGGUGGUGCUCCCGUCACCAUCGAAGCUUUGGCAUCGCGUUUGGAGCGGCUGACUGAGACGAGAUGUUCUCGUGGCCAGCACUACCAGCAUUCGGCAGCCCGCUGCCACCUCCGAGAAGAUAUUGCUAGGAUAUGCACACGGGCCAGGGGAGCACCUCGCGCACCAGCACAGCGGCCGAGCUAACUAGUGAGACGACAUUGCCAUGGAAGGGACGACCAGGGCAGGCAGUGACGUGAGCCUUGCUGCUGCCCCUAUAGCUAGCUAGCUAUAUAUAUAAGCCUACCAGACGCGCUGAAUUGAGCACAGCACAACAGCGUCCGCGGAGAUGCAGAUCCAGAGGUAGCGCGUCGGCGGCGUGAGCCUUGGUGCUCGGUUCAUCACUCUCCGUCGUCCGUGCCUCUGUUCACUCGCCGCCGUGAGUCCGGCCGGCCGGCCGGCCGUGACCGGGACGAUGGACAAGCCGAGGAGUGGGAGUGGCCAGGGGAAGAAACGCAGGGGAGGAGGAGGCGGACUCGGCGGGGCGCUGAGGAAGCAGAUGGCCAGGCUCUGCAUCAUCCGGGAGUGCGUCAUCAUGCUCCUCUUCUACCAUGACUGAUCCAGUCCAGUCCACUGAUGCCCUUGGCGGUUCUUCCUGGCCAUGCCUUGACGACUGCCUUUUUCUUUUCU
This 11354-nucleotide long non-coding RNA is filed under the name Zea mays. Its description in RNAcentral is "long non-coding RNA (ZMAY_LNC004065)". The record is from RNAcentral. Lineage: Eukaryota; Viridiplantae; Streptophyta; Magnoliopsida; Poales; Poaceae.